Molecule: long non-coding RNA, 1440 nt
Filed under: Chrysolophus pictus (golden pheasant)
Lineage: Eukaryota; Metazoa; Chordata; Aves; Galliformes; Phasianidae
Description: lncRNA (ENSCPIG00010005582.1)
Source: RNAcentral
AUGCAAGAAUGCCAAGCAUGUUUGAAAUGUGAAGACGGAAUGGUGGCCAUGCCUUGUUCCACUGUCAGUGACACGGUUUGUUCAGCAACCAGUGAAAGCAAGCUAUCAGAAUCUUGGGCUGCAAACAUCAUUUUACCAUCUGUGAAGUCUGGCAUCUCUCAGGUUUACUCUGGCUUGAACUUGAAGAUAAGGGAAAAGCUUCACUGUGACAUCCUGUCUAUUGAAGAUCAUGGCCUGAUAUUCAGGCAGCAUGGUCUGUUGUGGAUUGACCUAAAUUUUGCAGUAAAACACAACUGCAGGAAUUUUUUGCAACUUUCCUUAAAGCUAAAUGGCAGUGAGGAAGGCUAUGAACUUAGUGGUGUUCGCAUUGAACAGCCAGAAGGAAAAUAUUUCCAGAGCACCAGUUUAAGCAGCGCUGCUGAGGUGGAGCCCAGCCAAACUCUUUCCGUGUUUUUGAGGAGCCCAAACCAAUUCUGCAAUCAAAGUAAAGACUUACAUAUUUACGAUCUUAAUAGCCCACUAAGUCUGUUCUGGUUGUCUCAUGACACGGGUGCUGUGGCAAUCAGUGCACACAUGUCAACAGCAAUGCAUUACCAAACCAACUAUCGACCUACAUUUAAAAUAGUUUCUGUUUCCGACCCUUACAUGCUAAGUUUAUCUCACGAUGGCAGAGCUAUAAAAUUCACUGAAACAGGUGUUGUCAAAUUUGUGUUGCACCAAGCGUUGUAUUCUAUGGGUCACACUUGUGUCCGGGAGGGUUUCUCCUUAAUUUCUUAUAUAAAUAGGAAUGGUACCAACAGAGAAUUAAUGAAUGUAUUUAAAUCUGGGGUAAAUUACAGAGAUACAUCAAUAUCUGCUUCUGGGGCCACAAAAGUUGCUGCUGGAGAUCUGAUUAGCUUUGAGAUACUCUCUCCUGCACAGUGUAAUGUUCGGUAUUUUGGAGAUAGCUCUGGGAUUAGUAUGUUUAGCCUUAUCUGGAUACCUUCAGCAGUUUCUAGUGCCAUAUCAGCCACAGUUUCUGUUACAGGCCUACCUACUGGUGCUGUGAGAAACAAAUUCCUGGAUUUCACCCAAACCUCAUCCAAUGAAAAGCAGAUACAGCUGGUUUCUUCUGGACAGCUUGCUCAGAAGUACUUCAUUUUUACAGAAAAGGGAGUUGCCAGUCUUGCAUUUAACUUAAAGCUAAUCCAUUCGUGCAGUGUGCUUAAAGUGACUCUCCAACAGUUGACCAUGGAUCACAUGCAACCCACCAUAAUUGCUCAGCAGAUUGGAGGGCAGAUGCCAGAGGGAAGCAUAUGGACCAGUGUGACCCUCCGUGCAUCUUUUGAAGUACACAAUGGAACGCUGAUAUCAGUUUCUCUUGACUGUGUACGUGGAAGGAUCAAUCAGAUCACUCAUGAACAUGGAACCAGUAUAUCUAUUUUAUGGAUUUCAUCUUAA